GCCUGCUCGAAAAUGUACCUGUGGUCGCUGAAAAUAGGUGUCUUGGUUACCUUCUUAGCCUUGCUUAGUUCUUCUUCUCUUGGCGCUCAUCCUUCCAUCACAAGUAAAGAGCCAUGGGCGUCACGGCCGGCGACGCAUAUGAAACCAUUUAAAAUAUCUGAUGAUAUAUAAAAUACAAUUCUUUUAUAUAGUUUUACAACAGAAAUGAACUCCAAAUGAAAUUCUAUAUAAUUCUAUUAUACUGAAUAAAAUAAAGCGGAUAAUAAUUGAUUUUGAAA
This is a long non-coding RNA of Scaptodrosophila lebanonensis, 278 nucleotides long. RefSeq lists it as uncharacterized. Lineage: Eukaryota; Metazoa; Arthropoda; Insecta; Diptera; Drosophilidae. The transcript is spliced from 2 exons. The record is from RefSeq and is a predicted model, not a curated record.